Molecule: ribosomal RNA, 508 nt
Filed under: Glomus sp. Glo8
Lineage: Eukaryota; Fungi; Glomeromycota; Glomeromycetes; Glomerales; Glomeraceae
Description: SSU rRNA
Rfam family: Eukaryotic small subunit ribosomal RNA
Source: RNAcentral
AGCAGCCGCGGUAAUUCCAGCUCCAAUAGCGUAUAUUAAAGUUGUUGCAGUUAAAAAGCUCGUAGUUGAAUUUCGGGGUUAGUAGGUUGGUCAUGCCUCUGGUAUGUACUGAUCUCACUGAUUCCUCCUUCCUUAUGAACCGUAAUGCCAUUAAUUUGGUGUUGCGGGGAAUUUGGACUGUUACUUUGAAAAAAUUAGAGUGUUUAAAGCAGGCUAACGCUUGAAUACAUUAGCAUGGAAUAAUGAAAUAGGACGUUCGAUCUUAUUUUGUUGGUUUCUAGGAUUGACGUAAUGAUUAAUAGGGAUAGUUGGGGGCAUUAGUAUUCAAUUGUCAGAGGUGAGAUUCUUGGAUUUAUUGGAGACUAACUACUGCGAAAGCAUUUGCCAAGGAUGUUUUCAUUAAUCAAGAACGAAAGUUAGGGGAUCGAAGACGAUCAGAUACCGUCGUAGUCUUAACCAUAAACUAUGCCGACUAGGGAUCGGAUGAUGUUAAUUUUUUAAUGACUCA